RNAcentral lists this ribosomal RNA (134 nucleotides) under uncultured eukaryote. Its description in RNAcentral is "partial 18S ribosomal RNA". It matches the Rfam family "Eukaryotic small subunit ribosomal RNA", at positions 1299 to 1458 of the family's 1831-position model. The record is from RNAcentral.
UGGUGGAGCGAUUUGUCUGGUUAAUUCCGAUAACAGCGAGACUCUAGCCUACUAAAUAGUGCAAGGAUCUUUACGUCCUUGUCACUUCUUAGAGGGACAGACGGCAUCUAGCCGUACGAAAUUGAGCAAUAACA